Molecule: long non-coding RNA, 831 nt
Filed under: Diabrotica virgifera virgifera (western corn rootworm)
Lineage: Eukaryota; Metazoa; Arthropoda; Insecta; Coleoptera; Chrysomelidae
Description: uncharacterized LOC126887991
Source: RNAcentral
AUCUACAGGUCGAGCAAGUCUCGUAAAUUUCACGAUUGCGAGCCACGCUUCACGCAACCGUGUUUGCGUACUUGUGUUUCGAGUUGCGUGGUCGUGCGGAGUUGUCAAAAUUAAAUCAAUAUGUCAAUAUGGCUACUGGGUGUAAAAGAUACAUCUUAUUCUAUCUGUUCUUAAUGAGUUUUAGAUAAUUUUAGUUGUAUUUCUUUGUAAUUUUGUGUUGUACAAAGAUUAAUUUAACAUUUUCUCUGGAAGUAUUAAUUUAGAAAGAUAAUAUGCUUCAUUGGUGUUGUGUUUUGAAGUGUGAAAUGCAAAGUAAUUGUGAUAAAGUUCACUUUUAAACUGAACUAAAUAAGGUAUCUGAGAGACAACAAUGGUUAAAUGCAAUACAAUGUACAGGUUUUACUAGCGAAAUGAAAAUUUUCCUGUCCUGUCUGCUGUAAUCAUUUUAUAUCUGGAAAACCAGCCGACUUAAUCGAUAAUAACAAUCUCCAGAUUGGGUUCCUUCAAUAAAUAUGGGCUAUAAACACAAUGAAAUAAGUUCCCCAAAAUCUAAAAUGGAGUGGUAUCAAAGGAGAAUUAAAGGAAAAAAUAUUCAUAUUGAAAUUAUUUAUAAGGCACUGGACUGUCUUAAAUUCUACAGUAAUACUAGAAUCAGCUGAGAGAAGUGGUCUACAAAAAACCAGGAAGGAAACGGAAUAUGUGGCUACGAAAGGCAAAAGAAAGGUUUACAAAGCAAAUGUGACACAUUUUUUUGAAAUAUUUAGGAAUAUCAGUAAAUUGCAUUAAAAAAAUGUAUGAAAAGAUUUUGUUCAAUAAAAAUGUUUAUAUUUA